GAUGAACGCUGGCGGCGUGCUUAACACAUGCAAGUCGAACGGAAAGGCCCAAGCUUGCUUGGGUACUCGAGUGGCGAACGGGUGAGUAACACGUGGGUGAUCUGCCCUGCACUUCGGGAUAAGCCUGGGAAAUUGGGUCUAAUACCGGAUAGGACGAUGGUUUGGAUGCCAUUGUGGAAAGUUUUUUCGGUGUGGGAUGAGCUCGCGGCCUAUCAGCUUGUUGGUGGGGUAAUGGCCUACCAAGGCGUCGACGGGUAGCCGGCCUGAGAGGGUGUACGGCCACAUUGGGACUGAGAUACGGCCCAGACUCCUACGGGAGGCAGCAGUGGGGAAUAUUGCACAAUGGGCGCAAGCCUGAUGCAGCGACGCCGCGUGGGGGAUGACGGCCUUCGGGUUGUAAACUCCUUUCGCUAGGGACGAAGCGUUUUUGUGACGGUACCUGGAGAAGAAGCACCGGCUAACUACGUG
RNAcentral lists this ribosomal RNA (468 nucleotides) under uncultured bacterium. Its description in RNAcentral is "partial 16S ribosomal RNA". It matches the Rfam family "Bacterial small subunit ribosomal RNA", at positions 28 to 507 of the family's 1533-position model. The record is from RNAcentral.